GAGAGUAGCGGGUUGAGGUGUAAGCCCUGAGGAGGCAGCGUUUUCUGGGCUUCUGUCUGGUUGUCUCUCUCCAGAAGGUUCUGCCGGUUCCCCCAGCUCUGGGUAUCCGGCUCUGCAUCGCGCCGCCAUGAUGGGCCAUCGUCCAGUGCUCGUGCUCAGCCAGAACACAAAGCGUGAAUCCGGAAGAAAAGUUCAAUCUGGAAACAUCAAUGCUGCCAAGACUAUUGCAGAUAUCAUCCGAACAUGUUUGGGACCGAAGUCCAUGAUGAAGAUGCUUUUGGACCCAAUGGGAGGCAUUGUGAUGACCAACGAUGGCAAUGCCAUUCUUCGAGAGAUUCAAGUCCAGCAUCCAGCAGCCAAGUCCAUGAUCGAAAUUAGCCGGACCCAGGAUGAAGAGGUUGGAGAUGGGACCACAUCAGUAAUUAUUCUUGGUCUCGGUCUGUCACCAGGCUGGAGUGUGGUCGCGUGAUCUUGGCUCACUGCAACCUCCACCUCCCGGAGUAUAGUCCCAGCCUCCCAAGUAGCUGGGACUAUAGUCACGUGCCACCAUGCCCAGCUAAUUUUUGUAUUUUUAGUAGAGACAGGGUUUCACCAUGUUGGCCAGAUGGUCUCGAUCUCUUAACCUCGUGAUCCGCCCUCCUUGGCCUCCCAAAGUGUUGGGAUUACAGGCGUGAGCCACCACGCCUUUCAAGUCACCACAAACACUGAAUUGGCAAAUAAUAAAUCUUUGCUUCUAUAGGAAAUAUAGGGUUAGGUACCUAUAAGCCUCUGGUCACACUUUCAUUAACUGAUAAAUAUAUACCUUAUUGUUUGUGUUUGUCUUCAGGACACCCAUCUAAUAUAUAUAGUUGAUUUAUUAGCAUUGAACUCAUAGCCCAUAGCAAUAUAACUCAUGCCUGGACAAAGCUCACCUAACGUAUUUUCUCUGUAAGGCAUAUCACAGCCUUCUUGCACAUAGAAGCAUUAGAUAGCACUUAAGCACUACACUUGUGAGCCACUAUAAAUACCGAAAUCAUCAAGAAAAAUGUGAAAAACAUAACCUUAAAUAUAC
RNAcentral lists this small RNA (1051 nucleotides) under Pongo abelii (Sumatran orangutan). Its description in RNAcentral is "processed transcript". The record is from RNAcentral. Lineage: Eukaryota; Metazoa; Chordata; Mammalia; Primates; Hominidae.